This 3365-nucleotide long non-coding RNA is filed under the name Sus scrofa (pig). RNAcentral's name for it is "lncRNA (ENSSSCG00005010247.1)". The record is from RNAcentral. Lineage: Eukaryota; Metazoa; Chordata; Mammalia; Artiodactyla; Suidae.
AUAAUUAUAAAGAUGGUGGUUUGUGAUUGUUUUAAUCUCGUUUAGAAUUUCACAAAGUUAUUCUGUUUGGGGCAUUUGAAAUCCUUUUUAUACAGAGAGCUUCGACCUGUCCUAGCUUGCGAGUGUGACAUUUAGCCAUUUGAGUUGCCAUAGGUUUAUUUGCUAGUCAGGACUACCGUAUUGUAAGGUCCAUGGUUCUUGGAAGUGCCUUACAGCAUCACUUCAAUAGUACCUAAGGUACUGUUUUGGACUGAGGAAAGUGUAACCUGUUUGCAGAGCUGCUGCAGAACUGCCUUUUCCUAUCCUGGAACAGCCACUGUUGCUAGUGUAAGAUUUCCAAGGUCAAGCCUGUUGGUGGAAAUUAUUUCUCUUGAGACCAAAUAAGACAUCUCAAGCUUUUUAAGGUUUUAUUGUAGUUUCCAAGUGAGAUUAGUAAGCUGGUAUUGUUUCCUAACAUGUUUAUGGAUUUCAGAAGAGAACAGUAUACCUGUUUUUGUCUUGGAAAAUUCUUCCUCCUGAUGGGCUUUAUGCUUGAGUUUCUGGGACCACUUGGGAUUAUUCUCUCUUCUCCAUCUUAUUUCUUUCUAAGCAAUAUAUGGGGAAUUCCCAUUGUGGCUCAGCGGGUUAAGAACCUGACUAGUAUCCAUGAGGACAUGAGUUUGAUCCCUAGCCUCACUUGGUGCAUUAAGGACCCAGCAUCACUGCGAGCUAUGGCGUAGGUCACAGAUACAGUUUGGCAUUCUUUGGCCACCUCUAGCCUGCCACAGGAACAUCCCUAAAAAGACAAAAAACAAAAGACCCAAUAUCUAAUGGCAGUUGUUAAGUUAGCAUAAGUGUAAUUUUGAGGUACUUGCUACAAUGUAUAUGUUACUAAAAUAGUACUGACUUCUGUUGAUCACAAAGUUACAGUAUGUUAAUACUAUUACUGUUGUUGCCUAUAAUAAGAAUGGAAGAAAAUGCUAAUUUCCAACUAGCAGUUAGUAGAUUCAAGAUGUUCUUCCCCAUCUGAGGUCAUACCCUUGUUGAAUUCUGUCUGUGGACCUCAGGUUAAGUACCUCCCCCUUUCUACAGGGCCUCCUGCGGGUCUGACAGGUGCUUUUCCUGAGCCAGUAUUCCAGUGUGAGAUCAUUACCUGCUCUUUGUUCCUGAAGGGCUGACUUCUUACCCACUAGCAGAUGAGGCCGAUAAUGCUGCUAACGCUUCAGUCUCUUUAGCUUCUUCUGCCAGGAGAGACAUAUGUUUGGUCAUUAUUUUCCUUUCCCCAGUAAUUGGCUCUUUCUUCACUUGGGAGACCAGUACCAUUUUGUUAGCCAAACUGUUGAGAAAUUCUUGUUUCUUUGGAAUGGUAUAGGCCAAAGCAUAAAUCAGUUUGACAGAAAUAGCCACUCUUUUUGUUUCCAAUUUGCCCAAAUAAGUUAAUCUCAUUUAUAAAUGUUGACGACGACUCCUGUAUCCAAGUUGAGGCCAGGCUAGGAAUUCAUUUGUGAUAUAGGUUCGGUCACCUGAAAUAAACUGGACUAAGAGGAAAGACCAAACUGACUUGCAAAGAGUUUUAUUUAUUUUUUAACAUGUGACCUGAGCUUAUAUAAAACUUUUCCCAUUGAUCCUACAUUCUACUUCUCAAGAGAGCAGAUUAUCAGGAUAUAGCUUCAGUGCAACAAACUAUGGAUUUAUAUAGACAUUUCACUUCUGUGGGCACAUUAGAGAGAAUCAGCAGUAAGAAGAAAGCUGAUUUACUGAAGAGUUUUACUGGGAAGGAGAUUUAGAAGAGAAUAGACAAGAGAGCAAAGCUCUAGGGCCCCUAUCCAUAAUAUUCUCCCUAUUAAUUGGAUUUUUCUUGCAUCAAGCUGUAGUUGAUUUGAAGUAAAUAAUACAUAUUUGAGUCAUGCAAUAUUUUGGGCCUUUUGUUAACUAAGGGCUCGGAGCAUACACCUAGAGACCCUUAUCUCAGAUCUUCUUCAGAUGUGUCUGCUAUAUUAUAUCUAGAGCUACAGGUAAAGGAAAGAGAAGAUUUAGGCAGAAAAGUGGAGGGUAUUCUGGAAAGGUUGGAAAGCCUCUGGAAAACUAAAGAAAAAAAAAUAAGUUAACAAUCCCAGUUAAGAGUAUUUUUCAAAUUGUAUAGAAGAGAAACGUUGUGUAUCAGUGAAACAAAGGGUUUCAUUUGAUUUAGGAUGCAUGAAAAAUGUGAGUUGUUCUCGGAUGAGAAAACUGGCAGUAGUUGCAAGUAUUCUAUUCAGUAGGCUACUGUAGCAAGCCCUAUAAGACAAUCAUUGGAGUUCUCAAAUGAAAUACAGCCUUGUUAACAAGAAUCAAAAUUCUUUCCUGGUUUGAGCCAAAAAUAGUGGGGGUACAUAUUUGCUGUUCAUUUUUUACUCCCCCCUCCCCUUUUUUCUUUUCAUGGUCAGUCAUCCUUGAACAUACUAGUCAUUCUCAAACUGUUCUUGCAUCAGAAUCACCUAGAGGGCUUGAUAAAACACCGACGACUCUGUGUGUGUGUGUGUGUGUGUGUGUGUGUGUGUGUGUGUGUUCUCCCCUGCCAUUGCCGCUCCCCUCCCCAGAGAUUUCUGAUUCAAUAUUGGGUCAGGAUGGGACCCCUAAAUUUGCCUUUCUAACAAGUUAGGUACCACACUUUGAGAACCUCAGAACUGCAUCAUCAGUGUAAUUGUUCCCUAGCCCAAGUGAUGACUUACCAGAUGCUCUUUUGCUUAAUGUGUCUGUAUGGCCCAAUAGAGCACCUCAUCUUAUUAAAAACAAAAGAAGUUAAAAGAAGCUAUUUAAUAGGCAUAAAAAGAAAGCUGAGUCUUGAUCUCAGGAGCCUUUAGAUUGGAGAAAGACCCAUUAUGAAAUGUUUCAUUGUAGUCUUAGCAAAUAUGAUGUUUAAGGAGAUACUGUAUUGUUAAUUCUGAUUAUUACACAUACACUUUAAAUGUUUUAUUCGUUACUGUGAUUUUGAGUUUGGCUUUAGUGAUGCCCUCGUUGGGGUUGUAAAAUCUUCAGCUAUACAUUUUUUUUUUUUUUCUGAUGAGUAAUUAUUAUUUUCAGAUUGUUGUCACCAUCACUUGGUUAAUGCAAAUCUUAAUAGGGUCUCACAUUCUCUACUUUGGUCAUUUUAUUUAUUGGUUCAUUCAAAUUCUGGGGGACCAUUUAAUAUUUUAAAUGAGUGAGGACCCUUACAAAUUGAAAGGCCAUAUAGGUGCUCUUUGUACUAUUUAGUUUUCUGUAAACCUAAAACUAUCCUGAAAAAUAAAGUUGGUUAAUUUUUUAAAAAGUGCUCAGAACCAAGCAAAAAAGAAGGGAUUAGAAAUAUACAUGAGUUUGACAGCUGUUGGAGAAGAAAGACCCUGGACGUGCAAGGUAGGAUUUUC